AAUCUUCCGCAAUGGACGAAAGUCGGACGGAGCAAUGCCGCGUGAGUGAAGAAGGUUUUCGGAUCGUAAAACUCCGUUGUUAGAGAAGAACAAGGAUGAGCGUAAAUACUCAUCCCCUGACGGUAUCUAACAAGAAAGCCAUGGUUAACUCCGUGUGAGCAGCCGCGGUAAUACGUAGAUGGCAAGCUUUGUCCGGAUUUAUUGGGCGUAAAGCGAGCGCAGGCGGUUCUUUAAGUCUGAUGUGAAAGCCCCCAGCUCAACUGGGGAAGGUCAUUGGAAACUUGGGAACUUGAGUGCAGAAGAGGAGUGUGGAAUUCCACGUGUAGCGGUGAAAUGCGUAGAUAUGUGGAGGAACACCAGUGGCGAAGGCGACUCUCUGGUCUGUAACUGACGCUGAGGCUCGAAAGCGUGGGGAGCAAAC
RNAcentral lists this ribosomal RNA (421 nucleotides) under uncultured bacterium. Its description in RNAcentral is "partial 16S ribosomal RNA". It matches the Rfam family "Bacterial small subunit ribosomal RNA", at positions 360 to 773 of the family's 1533-position model. The record is from RNAcentral.